Molecule: unclassified non-coding RNA, 359 nt
Filed under: soil metagenome
Description: partial contains 5.8S ribosomal RNA, internal transcribed spacer 2, and large subunit ribosomal RNA
Rfam family: 5.8S ribosomal RNA (bases 6-121)
Source: RNAcentral
GAUGAAAGAACGUAGCGAAAUGCGAUAAGUAAUGUGAAUUGCAGAAUUCAGUGAAUCAUCGAAUCUUUGAACGCACAUUGCGCCCGCCAGUAUUCUGGCGGGCAUGCCUGUCCGAGCGUCAUUUCAACCCUCGAACCCCUCCGGGGGGUCGGCGUUGGGGACCUCGGGAGCCCCUAAGACGGGAUCCCGGCCCCGAAAUACAGUGGCGGUCUCGCCGCAGCCUCUCCUGCGCAGUAGUUUGCACAACUCGCACCGGGAGCGCGGCGCGUCCACGUCCGUAAAACACCCAACUUCUGAAAUGUUGACCUCGGAUCAGGUAGGAAUACCCGCUGAACUUAAGCAUAUCAAUAAGCGGAGGA